UCGAGAGUUUGAUCCUGGCUCAGGAUGAACGCUAGCGGCAGGCUUAACACACGCAAGUCGAGGGGUAUAGUAGCAAUACUAGAGACCGGCGCACGGGUGCGUAACGCGUAUGCAAUCUACCUUUUACAGAGGGAUAGCCCAGAGAAAUUUGGAUUAAUACCUCAUAGUAUGUGAGAAUCGCAUGGUUUUCACAUUAAAGUUCCAACGGUAAAAGAUGAGCAUGCGUCCCAUUAGCUAGAUGGUAAGGUAACGGCUUACCAUGGCGACGAUGGGUAGGGGUCCUGAGAGGGAGAUCCCCCGACACUGGUACUGAGACACGGACCAGACUCCGUACGGGAGGCAGCAGUGAGGAAUAUUGGACAAUGGGGCGCAAGCCUGAUCCCAGCCCAUGCCGCGUGCAGGAUGACGGUCCUAUGGAUUGUAAACUGC
RNAcentral lists this ribosomal RNA (429 nucleotides) under uncultured Flavobacterium sp. RNAcentral describes it as "bacterial SSU rRNA". It matches the Rfam family "Bacterial small subunit ribosomal RNA", at positions 1 to 433 of the family's 1533-position model. Lineage: Bacteria; Pseudomonadati; Bacteroidota; Flavobacteriia; Flavobacteriales; Flavobacteriaceae. The record is from RNAcentral.